AGUCGAACGAGAAUGUAGGCUUCGGUCUACUAGUAAAGUGGCAGACGGGUGCGUAACACGUGGGUAAUCUACCUUCCGGCGGGGGACAACAGUCCGAAAGGAUUGCUAAUACCGCAUACGUCAGCGGCGCCUACGGGCGCUGUUGGGAAAGAUGGCCUCUCCUUGGAAGCUGUCACCGGAAGAUGAGCCCGCGCCCCAUCAGCUAGUUGGUGAGGUAAUGGCUCACCAAGGCUAAGACGGGUAGCUGGUCUGAGAGGAUGAUCAGCCACACUGGGACUGCGACACGGCCCAGACUCCUACGGGAGGCAGCAGUGGGGAAUAUUGGGCAAUGGGCGAAAGCCUGACCCAGCCACGCCGCGUGAGUGAUGAAGGCCUUCGGGUCGUAAAGCUCUGUGGGGAGGGACGAACAAACUCUGGGCUAAUCACCAGGGUCCUGACGGUACCUCCUUAGCAAGCACCGGCUAACCCUGUGCCAGCAGCCGCGGUAAUACAGGGGGUGCAAACGUUGCUCGGAAUCAUUGGGCGUAAAGCGCACGUAGGCGGUCUGUUAUGUCGGAUGUGAAAGCCCUUGGCUUAACUGAGGAAGUGCAUCCGAAACUGGCAGGCUAGAGUACUAAAGAGGGUCGCGGAAUUCCCGGUGUAGAGGUGAAAUUCGUAGAUAUCGGGAGGAACACCGGUGGCGAAGGCGGCGACCUGGGUAGAUACUGACGCUG
Molecule: ribosomal RNA, 713 nt
Filed under: uncultured delta proteobacterium
Lineage: Bacteria; Deltaproteobacteria
Description: bacterial SSU rRNA
Rfam family: Bacterial small subunit ribosomal RNA
Source: RNAcentral